RNAcentral lists this long non-coding RNA (1350 nucleotides) under Equus caballus (horse). RNAcentral describes it as "lncRNA (ENSECAG00000038183.3)". Lineage: Eukaryota; Metazoa; Chordata; Mammalia; Perissodactyla; Equidae. The record is from RNAcentral.
UGCGGCUUUCUUCUCUCUCCCUCUCUCUCUCAUCACAUGUGCUGGGAGAGAUAAGCUGUCGUGUUGUAAGCAGCCUUAUGGAGAGGGCCAUGUGGUAUGGCAAGAGUUGAACUGAAGCCCUCAGUCCAAUAGCCUGAAAUGAACUGACACUUGGCAACAAUCAAGUGAGUGACCUUAGAAGUGAAUCCCCCUACCCAAAAGAAGUGAAAGCAGGAAGUCAGAUUGUUGUACACCCAUGUUCAUAGCAGCAUUAUUCACAACAACCAAAAUGUGGAAGCAGCCUAAGUGUCCAUUGAUGAAAGAAUGGAUAAGCAAAAUAUACAUACAAUGGAAUACUAUUCAGCCCUAAAGGAAAUUUUGACACAUACUACAAGAUGGACACUAUGCUAAGUGAAAUAAGCCAGUCACAAAAAGACAAAUAUUGUAUGACUCCACUUGUAUGAGGUACCUAGAAUAGUCAAAUUCAUAGAGACUGAGAGUAACAUGAUAGUUGCUAGGGGCUGGGGGGUGAGGUGGGAAUGGGGAGUCAAUAUCUAAGGGGUACAAAGUUUCAGUUGGAGAAGAUGAAAAAGUUCUAGAGGUGGAUGGAGGUGAUGGUUGCACAAAAAUGUGAAUGUGCUUAAUGCCACAGAGCUCUACACUUAAACAUGGUUAAAAUAGUAAAUUUUAUGUAUAUCUUACCACAAUAAAAAAAUAAAAAAAGAACAAGAAGAAAUGGGUUCCCCAAUGCCCCAGUCGAACCUUCAGAUGAGACUGCAGCUCUGGCAGCUUUACUACAACCUCAUGAGAGACGAUGAGCCAGAGACACCAGCUAAGCUGCACCCUUAUUUCUGACCCACAGAAACUGUGAGAUAAUUAGUUCCUGUUGUUUUAAGUCACUACAUUUGGGGGAUAAUUUGUUAUAUGCAGCAAUAGAUAACUAAUACACUGGCACUGGGGAAUCUUGACAGAAUUAUUUUGUGGAAAUUCUUAUUUCUUUUGCUUCAAAUUACAUGCUCACGUAUAUAAUCCCAUUUAAUACACUUUCUGAGCAGGAAAUAACCAGAACAACAUGUUGAAUGACAUAUAUACCCUAUCUCAUAUAAUCUUUGUAAUUACCCUGUUUGCUGUGUACUAUUAUUUCCAUUUUGUGAUGGGGCAGAAGAAGGAACGUCGUAUAGCUAAUUAAUGGAGGAGCAGGGUUUCAAGUCCAUAUCCAUUUGUCUCCAAAACUCAGGCUGACAUUUAGUUUCAAGAUAAGCCAACGCCGGAGACAGUGAUGUGUUCAAUAUUCCACAGCUGUUUGGAAGCAAUACUGCCUGGAUCCACGGCCUCGACCUGUCCCCAGUCCAGCAGCAUCAGCACCACCUG